UACAGAGGUGGCAAGCGUUGUUCGGAAUUACUGGGCGUAAAGGGCGCGUAGGCGGCUCGGCACGUCCGUUGUGAAAUCGCCCGGCUCAACUGGGCGGGGUCGGCGGAUACGGCCGAGCUGGAGCACGCUAGGGGGUAAUGGAAUUCCCGGUGUAGUGGUGGAAUGCGUAGAUAUCGGGAGGAACACCAGUGGCGAAGGCGGUUACCUGGAGCUUUGCUGACGCUGAUGCGCGAAAGCGUGGGGAGCGAUCCGG
Molecule: ribosomal RNA, 253 nt
Filed under: uncultured bacterium
Lineage: Bacteria
Description: partial 16S ribosomal RNA
Rfam family: Bacterial small subunit ribosomal RNA
Source: RNAcentral